RNAcentral lists this ribosomal RNA (401 nucleotides) under uncultured bacterium. RNAcentral's name for it is "bacterial SSU rRNA". It matches the Rfam family "Bacterial small subunit ribosomal RNA", at positions 30 to 416 of the family's 1533-position model. The record is from RNAcentral.
AUUGAACGCUGGCGGCAUGCUUAACAUAUGCAAGUCGAACGGUAACAGGCCCUUCGGGGUGCUGACGAGUGGCGGACGGGUGAGUAAUACUUAGGAAUCUGCCUGGUUGUGGGGGAUAACCCGGGGAAACUCGGGCUAAUACCGCAUACGUCCCUCUGUCUUUGUGACAGGGGGGGAAAGGCGGGGACCGUUCGGCCUCGCGCUAUCAGAUGAGCCUAAGUCCGAUUAGCUAGUUGGUAGGGUAAUGCCUACCAAGGCGACGAUCGGUAGCUGGUCUGAGAGGACGACCAGCCACACUGGGACUGAGACACGGCCCAGACUCCGUACGGGAGGCAGCAGUGGGGAAUAUUGGACAAUGGGCGAAANCCUGAUCCAGCGAUGCCGCGUGUGUGAAGAAGGCC